This 342-nucleotide ribosomal RNA is filed under the name Triticum aestivum (bread wheat). RNAcentral describes it as "partial small subunit ribosomal RNA". Lineage: Eukaryota; Viridiplantae; Streptophyta; Magnoliopsida; Poales; Poaceae. The record is from RNAcentral.
AUGACAGGUACGUGCAAAGCGGAGCUAGUCGAGGGUGUAGCAACAGUUCUUGAAGGUGUUCAUGUCGCGGCUGAAGAGUGGCACGUAGGCGUCCACGCUGCCAUCGCCCAAGAAGGAGGGCAGCAGGAUGAGCAGGCCCUCCACCGGCAGGUAGCUGGGCAUGAAGAAGAACGGACGGCCGCCGCCGAAGUCCAUGUCGUAGAACGGGAUCCGCAGCCAGCUGUCCACCACUCCACCUCGAUGUUGGGGCUCAGCACCAUCUCAGCCGCGUCGGCCGUCGCCAGCAGCCGCUCUUUCUCCACCGCGCCGGAGCUGGCGAAGUCGAUGAAGGACUUGAAGUAG